GGAGGAGAACCUUGCCCUAACAUGAGGAAAGUCAAAGGCCCGAUUCUUUUAGACCGGAUGGGGGGAGAGGCCCUACAACGCCCUUAUGCGCCCCCACAGCCAUGUUAGGGACAGGAGGAGAACCUCGCCCUAACAUGAGCAAAGUCGAAGACCUGGUUCUGUUAGACUGGAUGGGGGGAAAGGCCCUACAACACCCUAAUGUGCCCCCACAGCCAUAUUAGGAACAGGAGGAAACCUCGUCCUGACAUGAGCAAAAUCGAAGACCCGGUUCUUUUAGACCGGAUGGGGGGAGAGGCCCUUGCAGUGAUCUUUAUGUGCCCUGACAGCCCUGUUGGGAAUAGAAGGAGAACCUCAUCCUAACCUGAGCUGAGAUCGACUACGUCAAGGACAGAAGGAGGACCUCGUCCUGACGAUGAUAAAAAUUUGAUCACCCAAC
Molecule: long non-coding RNA, 436 nt
Filed under: Elaeis guineensis (African oil palm)
Lineage: Eukaryota; Viridiplantae; Streptophyta; Magnoliopsida; Arecales; Arecaceae
Description: long non-coding RNA (EGUI_LNC078468)
Source: RNAcentral